UUUUUUAAAUAAAUUGAAAAUUUCCCAAAAUCGUGAAUUAUAACAUCAUUAUUAUUUGAUGAUACUUUUGGAAGUACAAGAAGAAAAUGUUUAUGAGAAACAGGUAUUAAAUAAAUUUAUUAAAAAUCAAGUUAAUCCUUUGCACUCCAGGCUUGUUUCGCUCGGUCGAAUCAACAACUCCAGACUCAGACCCACGCAUUCG
Molecule: long non-coding RNA, 202 nt
Organism: Apis laboriosa (Himalayan honeybee)
Lineage: Eukaryota; Metazoa; Arthropoda; Insecta; Hymenoptera; Apidae
Exons: 3
Source: RefSeq, a predicted model, not a curated record